AAUUGACGGGGGCCGCCUUGUACACACC
Molecule: ribosomal RNA, 28 nt
Filed under: synthetic construct
Description: 16S RIBOSOMAL RNA HELIX 28 from synthetic construct (PDB 2R1G, chain D)
Source: RNAcentral